Molecule: long non-coding RNA, 1329 nt
Filed under: Homo sapiens (human)
Lineage: Eukaryota; Metazoa; Chordata; Mammalia; Primates; Hominidae
Description: HSALNT0072825
Source: RNAcentral
AAAUCUCAGAGUCAGUCCACAGUGAGCCUCCAGUAAUUUGUCAGUUACAGUUCGGUUUCCCUAUCCCUGCACUGGUUCUCAUAGAGGUUUCUGUUCAUCAUUUUCUGCUUUGGUGGUCUAGGCCAUAAGGACUACAACUCUUAGAUGAGUCCUAGUGCUGAACUAAGUCCAGAGACACUGGAUUGGAAGGCAUGUGACAUACUGAGACAUCAGCUGGUGCAGCCAAGGCAUCACCCCUCCCCAAACCCUAGGCUGCACAGCUCACACUCCAAAAGAGACUCUCUUCCUUCCGCUUUAGGAUAGGAGAGGAAAAAAUGGGAAGGACUUUCUUCGCAUCUUGGAUACUAGCUCAGCUACAGAAUGAUAGGGCACCAUCAGUGCUGCAAGGCUCCUGUUCCAGGCCCUAGCUCCUAGAUGACAUUUCUGGACACACCCUGGACCAGAAGGAAACUUGCUGCCUUGAAGGAAAGGAUGCAGUUGUGGCAGAAUUCAUCACUUGUUAACUGAAGAGGCUUUGGACCCUGAAUAACCAGCAGCGAUCCACAGGUACUAUGUUGAGGGCUUUGGGUGAGCCUCUGAGACUUGCUGGCUUUUGGCGAGACACAGCACAUUCCCAGCUGUGUUGGCUAUGGGGUAAAACUCCUGCUUGAGAAAAGCAGAAGGAAAAGUAAAAGAGAGUUUGUCCUGUACUGUACACACCAGCACGGGCACAGAGCGGUAGAGCAACACGCGAUGCCUUAGGAUCCCCGAUUCCAGGACUUGACCCUUGGAUGGCAUUUCUGGCGCUGCCCUAGAACAGGAGAAAGCCCACUGCCCUGAAGAGUGAGUCUCAGGCCAGGCAGCCUUGAACCUUAAGGGAACAUUGGCUAAAUCAUAGUUUGAUAGUACUCCUCAUGGCCUGGUGGCGAGUGCUAUGGAGUGAGGCUUCUCCUCUUUUGGAAAGGGGAGGGAAGAGUGGGAAGGACUACAUCUUGUGGUUUGAGUGCCGGUUCAUCCACAAUAAAAUCAAAUACUAAGUAGACGUCUAAGGUUUUGUACUCUAGUCCCUGAUUCUAUGGCACCUUUGCAUCCACCCAGGGCUUAGGCAACCUCAUUGACCUGAAAGGAGGGACACAGGCUUGAUUGACAUUGCCACUGGCUCAUUGUAGUACCUCAGGGCCUUGAUGUGAACACAGACAGUAGCCAGGCAGUAGUUACAGCAGGCCCUGAGUGAGACCCAAUACUGUGCUGGCUUCAGGUCUGACCCAGCACAGUAAUAAUGGUGGUGGCCACAGGGGUGAUUGUGUCAAUCCACCCUCAAUGUUAGAUGGCCCAGGAGAGAGGGAGGGG